This 291-nucleotide long non-coding RNA is filed under the name Mustela putorius furo (domestic ferret). RNAcentral describes it as "lncRNA (ENSMPUG00000025369.1)". The record is from RNAcentral. Lineage: Eukaryota; Metazoa; Chordata; Mammalia; Carnivora; Mustelidae.
AUCAACUUUGCGGUAACCACCUUUCUGAUUCAUGAUUUCCAACUUAAGCCACAGGCAGUCUAUUCGUCCUAUUUAUAACAUUGGAGACCUCCAAGAAGAAAACAGGUAUGAAAAACAAGUGAAUAGAUGGAUGAAAGAACCUACCCUUCAUUCUUUAAAGAAGACACAACAAUUCAGUUUGGUAAUGACUGGGACAGCACUUAGCUUCAGUAAUAUAGUGUUUAUCCAGUGAUACAUCAGGAAAUUUUAGAUGCUCAGCAUAUAAAGAAACUAAAGCUAAUACACUUCAAC